This 253-nucleotide ribosomal RNA is filed under the name uncultured bacterium. Its description in RNAcentral is "partial 16S ribosomal RNA". It matches the Rfam family "Bacterial small subunit ribosomal RNA", at positions 524 to 776 of the family's 1533-position model. The record is from RNAcentral.
UACAGAGGGUGCGAGCGUUGUCCGGAAUCACUGGGCGUAAAGGGCGCGUAGGUGGUGACCUAAGCGUGCGGUGAAAGCCCGAGGCUCAACCUCGGGUCGGCCGUGCGAACUGGGUCACUGGAGCAGAAUAGAGGCAGGUGGGAUUCCGGGUGUAGCGGUGGAAUGCGUAGAGAUCCGGAAGAACACCGGUGGCGAAGGCGGCGACCUGGGUUGACACUGACGCUGAGGCGCGAAAGCGUGGGGAGCAAACAGG